GUGAAUGCGGCCUCUUCUCCUUCUUGAUACUAUGUGCACGUGAAGAAGAAGGAGAUUGCUGCGAAUGAUAGGUGGCACGAUGACCGUGUCGGAAAAGUAGUGGCUCAACUUGGUGAGAAUGUCGAGAGGGUCAUCGUUCUGGGGAUGAAGAAAGAGAUCUUCACGGAGUACGGUGAUUGUGUCUGGAUGGCACUAUAUGCACCGCCGGCUCCUCUGCUGCCAGUUGCUACUGUUGCGUGUCUGUUGCUAUUGGAGACUAUGCACUGUCUCUGUUAGCAUUUUUAUUUGCUGCAUUAAAGCAGCGAUUUAGGCGUCCAUAGUGAUAAUAGGAUGCGAAGAACUGAGUUCUGCCAUUGGAGGUAGAGGAGGGAGGUCUUUCCGGUGGGAAGAUUGCUUGGGAGAGUCGGUGGAGUUAUUUUGAGCUCUUAUUUUUGUCAUAAUUUUUAGUUUCACUAGCCCUCGCCUCCUAUCUGAUGCACCAAUCUGUUACGGCCAAUCUCUUAUUGUGUCUAACUCCAGCGAAGAGCAACAUGCAAAAGAAGUCCACAGAUCGGAAUUAUAUCCGAUGGAGAUCCUCUGAUGUUUAAGUCAGUAAAGAGUGGUUAAUAGUAGAUAGAAUAUUCAAAGUGACAGAGUGUUAGUCCAGAAGUGUCUUAUCAAAAUUGUUCAUUUACCUCCUUUUUAUAAAUAAUCAGCUGG
Molecule: long non-coding RNA, 699 nt
Filed under: Elaeis guineensis (African oil palm)
Lineage: Eukaryota; Viridiplantae; Streptophyta; Magnoliopsida; Arecales; Arecaceae
Description: long non-coding RNA (EGUI_LNC010562)
Source: RNAcentral